AAACGUCUCAAGUGGUUUCAAAAAAUAAUAUUGUUUUUAAAAAUGCAAAAUAUAGUUUCAAUUAAGAAAGAUUAUGCAUAAAAUGCAUUCAGAAACAUUGUGAAGUUCACGCAUUGAAAAUAUCAAGGGAUUUGGUGACAACUCGGACUGUAAAGCUGGAACGUCAACGCACCACGAGCACAGCCGGGGCUAACUUGCUAAUGCUUGCCGAGCUCAGCAUUUGGGAAAUGAUAACUGUUAACGCGUAGAAAAUGGAGGAGAAGGACCGCUUUGCCUUCCUGGCCGAUUGGUACGACCCGACGGCGGCUCUCCUGCGGCGCUACCAACUCUUUUACUACCCCCAUGACAGCUCCGUGGAGAUGUUUGACGUAAAGAACCAGCGCAUCUUCCUGCGGCGGACCAAAUACGGCGACCUGCGCCCGGGCGAUCUGUUUGUGGGCGGCCGUGUCAACGUCUUCUCGCGGCAGCUCAACAUCGUUGACUACGGCGACAAAUACACGGCCACCAAGCUGGGCAGCAAAAAAGAACGAACCCUCGCGCUGCUCAAGCCGGACGGCGUGAACAAGGUCGGCGAUGUCCUGGAAAUGGCCAACCAGGCCAACCUGAUGGUCACCAACGCCAAGAUGACGCACUUGACAUGGAGCCAAGCGGCAGACUUUUAUGUGGAGCAUCAGUCGAAGCCCUUCUUCAAUUCCUUGGUGCAGCAGGUGUGCUCUGGUCCCGUGGUGGCCUUGGAGCUGGUGGGCGACGAGGCCGUGUCCGUCUGGAGGAACCUCCUGGGGCAUUCGGACGCGGCGGCGGCGGCGGCGGCGGCGGCGGCGGCGCACAAGGAGGCGCCGCAGAGCGCCAGGGGGCAGCUGGGAAGCGACCUGGCGCACGGCUCCGACUCGCUUAGCGCCGCAGCUAGGGAGCUGGAGUUCUUCUUCCCGACCACAAUCUGCCACGGCCCCGUCAACACGGCCCUCUAUUCGCAGUGCACGUGUUGCAUCAUCAAACCUCACGCUGUCUCCCAAGGCCUGGCCGGGAAGAUCGUCAACUCCAUCGCCGCGGGCGGGUUUCACAUCUCGGCGCUGCAAAUGUUCAACGUGGACCGAGCCAACGCCGAGGAGUUCUACGAAGUCUACAAAGGCGUCGUGACGGAAUACGCGGACAUGGUGACGGAGCUGUCUUUGGGACCCAGCAUGGUCCUGGAGCUCCACGGCGCCGACGUAGCCAAGACCUUCCGCGACUUCUGCGGGCCCGCCGAUCCGUUGAGUAAAUAGAGGAAGCACACGAUUCCAAAUGGCAGAGUUGCCGGCGGCUUCUCCCCAAUGCGUGCCGGCGACGCAUUCCUGCGAUGAUGUGACCAAGACAUCGCUCGCCACCUCCGUCCGUCCACGCUGCGAGCCAUCUACGGCAGCGACAAAGUCAAGAACGCCGUCCACUGCACAGACCUCGCGGAAGACGCCAUCCUGGAGGUGCAGUACUUCUUCAAGAUCUUGGACGGAUGACCGAAUAAAUAAUAAUAAAUACAAUUUUAAAACGAAA
Molecule: RNA transcript, 1527 nt
Organism: Phyllopteryx taeniolatus (common seadragon)
Lineage: Eukaryota; Metazoa; Chordata; Actinopteri; Syngnathiformes; Syngnathidae
Gene: nme7
Gene name: NME/NM23 family member 7
Exons: 13
Source: RefSeq, a predicted model, not a curated record